UCCAACCUUUGAAGAUUGCUAGUUACAUUUUCUCUUUGCGCGCAUUCGAGCAGGCUAGAUGACUCAAUGGUGUUCUAUUAUGUUUGGCGAACAUGUGUUUCAACUCCACGAGCGCAUUCAACUUUAGCUUGGAGAGAAAUGAAUUUGUCGAUGCAUAGCCGACCUCAAUGCCAGAUGACUCAAUUCUUGACAGGUCUUGGGUGCGCUCAGGCCUGGGAUUGUUUGAAUCUGGUUUGAGUGAGGUUGUUGUUAUGUUUGGCAUCUCACGAAGUUGGGAGAAUUCUGCACAACGGCUCGAGAAGAUUGAGUAUUUUCUUCUUGAUGCUUAAGCCAAGGAGAAUGAAGCCAUCGUCCGAAUUGCUUUGAUCAAGGAAGUGCUUGCUAUGAUAGAGAGGUGGAAGACAGAGAUGACGU
Molecule: long non-coding RNA, 414 nt
Filed under: Salvia miltiorrhiza (redroot sage)
Lineage: Eukaryota; Viridiplantae; Streptophyta; Magnoliopsida; Lamiales; Lamiaceae
Description: long non-coding RNA (SMIL_LNC001663)
Source: RNAcentral